AUUGAACGCUGGCGGCAUGCUUUACACAUGCAAGUCGAACGGUAACAGGCCGCAAGGUGCUGACGAGUGGCGAACGGGUGAGUAAUGCAUCGGAACGUGCCCAGUCGUGGGGGAUAACUACUCGAAAGAGUAGCUAAUACCGCAUACGAUCUAUGGAUGAAAGCGGGGGACCGUAAGGCCUCGCGCGAUUGGGGCGGCCGAUGUCAGAUUAGGUAGUUGGUGGGGUAAAGGCUCACCAAGCCAACGAUCUGUAGCUGGUCUGAGAGGACGACCAGCCACACUGGGACUGAGACACGGCCCAGACUCCUACGGGAGGCAGCAGUGGGGAAUUUUGGACAAUGGGCGCAAGCCUGAUCCAGCAAUGCCGCGUGCAGGAAGAGGGCCUUCGGGUUGUAAACUGCUUUUGUACGGAACGAAACGGCUCUGGUUAAUACCCGGGGCUAAUGACGGUACCGUAAGAAUAAGCACCGGCUAACUACGUG
RNAcentral lists this ribosomal RNA (482 nucleotides) under uncultured bacterium. RNAcentral describes it as "partial 16S ribosomal RNA". It matches the Rfam family "Bacterial small subunit ribosomal RNA", at positions 30 to 507 of the family's 1533-position model. The record is from RNAcentral.